UACGGAAGGCAGCAGUGGGGAAUAUUGCACAAUGGGCGCAAGCCUGAUGCAGCCAUGCCGCGUGUAUGAAAAAGGCCUUCGGGUUGUAAAGUACUUUCAGUCGUGAGGAAGGUGUUAAGGUUAAUAACCUUAGCAAUUGACGUUAGCGACAGAAGAAGCACCGGCUAACUCCGUGCCAGCAGCCGCGGUAAUACGGAGGGUGCGAGCGUUAAUCGGAAUUACUGGGCGUAAAGGGCACGCAGGCGGUUAAUUAAGUUGGAUGUGAAAUCCCCGGGCUUAACCUGGGAAUGGCAUUCAAGACUGGUUAGCUAGAGUCUUGUAGAGAGGGGUAGAAUUCCAUGUGUAGCGGUGAAAUGCGUAGAGAUGUGGAGGAAUACCGGUGGCGAAGGCGGCCCCUGGACAAAGGCUGACGCUCAUGUGCGAAAGCGUGGGGAGCAAA
Molecule: ribosomal RNA, 439 nt
Filed under: uncultured bacterium
Lineage: Bacteria
Description: bacterial SSU rRNA
Rfam family: Bacterial small subunit ribosomal RNA
Source: RNAcentral